GAGCAGUUCGCCGUGAUACACGACGAGAUUGUUCGGAUGGUGGUUACCUUACUUAUGGACGCGUUUGGGCCAAUACUGAGUCAGCCCUCAACUACUCAGGUAUGCCAUUCGUUUUAAAUUCAAGUAUAUAUUCUGCAUGUUAUUUAAUUUUUAUUUAGUUAUCUUUAACUGUAUUAUAUAUAUGGACUAAUGAGUUACAUUAUAUUGUAUCAACAGGGUGAUGAGCGGGCUGACGAUGCUGAGCGGUUAGACGACAACGGCCUGUGACUUAGUUUUGUAGAUGAUGUGUACGUAUUUACUUAGUUUUUAGCUUAAUGUGAUG
RNAcentral lists this long non-coding RNA (322 nucleotides) under Panax ginseng (ginseng). RNAcentral describes it as "long non-coding RNA (PGIN_LNC007358)". The record is from RNAcentral. Lineage: Eukaryota; Viridiplantae; Streptophyta; Magnoliopsida; Apiales; Araliaceae.